Molecule: ribosomal RNA, 519 nt
Filed under: uncultured bacterium
Lineage: Bacteria
Description: bacterial SSU rRNA
Rfam family: Bacterial small subunit ribosomal RNA
Source: RNAcentral
AGAGUUGAUCCUGGCUUAGGAUGAACGCUAGCUACAGGCUUAACACAUGCAAGUCGAGGGGCAGCAUGAUCUAGCUUGCUAGAAUGAUGGCGACCGGCGCACGGGUGAGUAACGCGUAUCCAACCUUCCCUAUAGUAGAGGAUAGCCCGGCGAAAGUCGGAUUAAUACUCUAUGUUGUUCAAUGCGGACAUCUAAGUUGAACCAAAGGUUUACCGCUAUAGGAUGGGGAUGCGUCUGAUUAGAUGGUAGGCGGGGUAACGGCCCACCUAGUCGACGAUCAGUAGGGGUUCUGAGAGGAAGGUCCCCCACAUUGGAACUGAGACACGGUCCAAACUCCUACGGGAGGCAGCAGUGAGGAAUAUUGGUCAAUGGGCGAGAGCCUGAACCAGCCAAGUAGCGUGCCAGGAUGACGGCCCUAUGGGUUGUAAACUGCUUUUAUAUAGGGAUAAAGUGCACUACGUGUAGUGUUUUGUAGGUACUAUAUGAAUAAGGACCGGCUAAUUCCGUGCCAGCCGCCGC